UACGUAGGGUGCAAGCGUUAAUCGGAAUUACUGGGCGUAAAGCGUGCGCAGGCGGUUCGUUGUGUCUGUGGUGAAAGCCCCGGGCUUAACCUGGGAAUGGCCAUGGAAACUGGCGAGCUGGAGUGUGGCAGAGGGGGGUGGAAUUCCGCGUGUAGCAGUGAAAUGCGUAGAGAUGCGGAGGAACACCGAUGGCGAAGGCAGCCCCCUGGGCUAACACUGACGCUCAGGCACGAAAGCGUGGGGAGCAAACAGG
This 253-nucleotide ribosomal RNA is filed under the name uncultured bacterium. Its description in RNAcentral is "partial 16S ribosomal RNA". It matches the Rfam family "Bacterial small subunit ribosomal RNA", at positions 524 to 776 of the family's 1533-position model. The record is from RNAcentral.